RNAcentral lists this ribosomal RNA (583 nucleotides) under Enterococcus faecalis. RNAcentral's name for it is "bacterial SSU rRNA". It matches the Rfam family "Bacterial small subunit ribosomal RNA", at positions 21 to 593 of the family's 1533-position model. Lineage: Bacteria; Bacillati; Bacillota; Bacilli; Lactobacillales; Enterococcaceae. The record is from RNAcentral.
GGCUCAGAUUGAACGCUGGCGGCAGGCCUAACACAUGCAAGUCGAACGGUAACAGGAAGAAGCUUGCUUCUUUGCUGACGAGUGGCGGACGGGUGAGUAAUGUCUGGGAAACUGCCUGAUGGAGGGGGAUAACUACUGGAAACGGUAGCUAAUACCGCAUAACGUCGCAAGACCAAAGAGGGGGACCUUCGGGCCUCUUGCCAUCGGAUGUGCCCAGAUGGGAUUAGCUAGUAGGUGGGGUAACGGCUCACCUAGGCGACGAUCCCUAGCUGGUCUGAGAGGAUGACCAGCCACACUGGAACUGAGACACGGUCCAGACUCCUACGGGAGGCAGCAGUGGGGAAUAUUGCACAAUGGGCGCAAGCCUGAUGCAGCCAUGCCGCGUGUAUGAAGAAGGCCUUCGGGUUGUAAAGUACUUUCAGCGGGGAGGAAGGGAGUAAAGUUAAUACCUUUGCUCAUUGACGUUACCCGCAGAAGAAGCACCGGCUAACUCCGUGCCAGCAGCCGCGGUAAUACGGAGGGUGCAAGCGUUAAUCGGAAUUACUGGGCGUAAAGCGCACGCAGGCGGUUUGUUAAGUCAGAU